GAUCCUGGCUCAGGAUGAACGCUGGCGGCGUGCUUAACACAUGCAAGUCGAACGAAGCACUCUAUUUGAUUUUCUUCGGAAAUGAAGAUUUUGUUGACUGAGUGGCGGACGGGGUGAGUAACGCGUGGGUAACCUGCCUCAUACAGGGGGAGUAACAGUUGGAAACGACUGCUAAUACCGCAUAAGCGCACGGUAUCGCAUGGUACAGUGUGAAAACACCGUCGGGUAGUGAGAUGGACCCGCCG
Molecule: ribosomal RNA, 245 nt
Filed under: uncultured bacterium
Lineage: Bacteria
Description: partial 16S ribosomal RNA
Rfam family: Bacterial small subunit ribosomal RNA
Source: RNAcentral